GUCUUCGUGGCUCAGUUGGUUAGAGCGUUGGUCUCAUAUCGGCAUCGAUAAUGAAGGUGUUCCGCACCCCACAUCCAAAGGUCGCGAGUUCGAGUCUCGCCGAGGACA
This 108-nucleotide transfer RNA is filed under the name Blumeria hordei DH14. RNAcentral's name for it is "Blumeria graminis f. sp. hordei DH14 tRNA". It matches the Rfam family "tRNA". From Rfam's summary of the family: Transfer RNA (tRNA) molecules are approximately 80 nucleotides in length. Their secondary structure includes four short double-helical elements and three loops (D, anti-codon, and T loops). Lineage: Eukaryota; Fungi; Ascomycota; Leotiomycetes; Helotiales; Erysiphaceae. RNAcentral also lists the same sequence under 1 other name. The record is from Rfam by way of RNAcentral.